GACGAACGCUGGCGGCGUGCCUAAUACAUGCAAGUAGAACGCUGAAGAGAGGAGCUUGCUCUUCUUGGGUGAGUUGCGAACGGGUGAGUAACGCGUAGGUAACCUGCCUUGUAGCGGGGGAUAACUAUUGGAAACGAUAGCUAAUACCGCAUAACAAUGGAUGACACAUGUCAUUUAUUUGAAAGGGGCAAUUGCUCCACUACAAGAUGGACCUGCGUUGUAUUAGCUAGUAGGUGAGGUAAUGGCUCACCUAGGCGACGAUACAUAGCCGACCUGAGAGGGUGAUCGGCCACACUGGGACUGAGACACGGCCCAGACUCCUACGGGAGGCAGCAGUAGGGAAUCUUCGGCAAUGGGGGCAACCCUGACCGAGCAACGCCGCGUGAGUGAAGAAGGUUUUCGGAUCGUAAAGCUCUGUUGUAAGUCAAGAACGGGUGUGAGAGUGGAAAGUUCACACUGUGACGGUAGCUUACCAGAAAGGGACGGCUAACUACGUGCCAGCAGCCGCGGUAAUACGUAGGUCCCGAGCGUUGUCCGGAUUUAUUGGGCGUAAAGCGAGCGCAGGCGGUUUGAUAAGUCUGAAGUUAAAGGCUGUGGCUCAACCAUAGUUCGCUUUGGAAACUGUCAAACUUGAGUGCAGAAGGGGAGAGUGGAAUUCCAUGU
This 663-nucleotide ribosomal RNA is filed under the name uncultured Streptococcus sp. RNAcentral's name for it is "bacterial SSU rRNA". It matches the Rfam family "Bacterial small subunit ribosomal RNA", at positions 28 to 674 of the family's 1533-position model. Lineage: Bacteria; Bacillati; Bacillota; Bacilli; Lactobacillales; Streptococcaceae. The record is from RNAcentral.